GAUGAACGCUGGCGGCGUGCCUAAUACAUGCAAGUCGAGCGAACAGAUGAGGAGCUUGCUCCUCUGACGUUAGCGGCGGACGGGUGAGUAACACGUGGAUAACCUACCUAUAAGACUGGGAUAACUUCGGGAAACCGGAGCUAAUACCGGAUAAUAUAUUGAACCGCAUGGUUCAAUAGUGAAAGACGGUUUUGCUGUCACUUAUAGAUGGAUCCGCGCCGCAUUAGCUAGUUGGUAAGGUAACGGCUUACCAAGGCAACGAUGCGUAGCCGACCUGAGAGGGUGAUCGGCCACACUGGAACUGAGACACGGUCCAGACUCCUACGGGAGGCGGCAGUAGGGAAUCUUCCGCAAUGGGCGAAAGCCUGACGGAGCAACGCCGCGUGAGUGAUGAAGGUCUUCGGAUCGUAAAACUCUGUUAUUAGGGAAGAACAAAUGUGUAAGUAACUAUGCACGUCUUGACGGUACCUAAUCAGAAAGCCACGGCUAACUACGUGCCAGCAGCCGCGGUAAUACGUAGGGCGCGAGCGUUGUCCGGAAUUAUUGGGCGUAAAGGGCUUGUAGGCGGUUGGUCGCGUCUGCCGUGAAAUCCUCUGGCUUAGCUGGGGGCGUGCGGUGGGUACGGGCUGACUUGAGUGCGGUAGGGGAGACUGGAACUCCUGGUGUAGCGGUGGAAUGCGCAGAUAUCAGGAAGAACACCGGUGGCGAAGGCGGGUCUCUGGGCCGUUACUGACGCUGAGGAGCGAAAGCGUGGGGAGCGAACAGGAUUAGAUACCCUGGUAGUCCACGCUGUAAACGUUGGGCACUAGGUGUGGGGGCCACCCGUGGUUUCUGCGCCGUAGCUAACGCUUUAAGUGCCCCGCCUGGGGAGUACGGCCGCAAGGCUAAAACUCAAAGGAAUUGACGGGGGCCCGCACAAGCGGCGGAGCAUGCGGAUUAAUUCGAUGCAACGCGAAGAACCUUACCAAGGCUUGACAUGCACGGCGGCACUGCAGAGAUGUGGUGGCAUUUAGUUGGUCGUGUGCAGGUGGUGCAUGGUUGUCGUCAGCUCGUGUCGUGAGAUGUUGGGUUAAGUCCCGCAACGAGCGCAACCCUUGCCCUAUGUUGCCAGCACGUGAUGGUGGGGACUCGUGGGGGACUGCCGGGGUUAACUCGGAGGAAGGUGGGGAUGACGUCAAAUCAUCAUGCCCCUUAUGUCUUGGGCUUCACGCAUGCUACAAUGGCUGGUACAGAGGGUUGCGAUACUGUGAGGUGGAGCGAAUCUCUUAAAGCCAGUCUCAGUUCGGAUUGGGGUCUGCAACUCGACCCCAUGAAGGUGGAGUCGCUAGUAAUCGCAGAUCAGCAACGCUGCGGUGAAUACGUUCUCGGGCC
This 1371-nucleotide ribosomal RNA is filed under the name uncultured bacterium. RNAcentral describes it as "partial 16S ribosomal RNA". It matches the Rfam family "Bacterial small subunit ribosomal RNA", at positions 28 to 1380 of the family's 1533-position model. The record is from RNAcentral.